CCCUUAGAUGUUCUGGGCCGCACGCGUGCUACACUGAGUGGAUCAGCGGGUCAGGUUGCGCGAAAGUGUUUCCUAAUCUUGAAAUCCGCUCGUGAUGGGGAUUGACGGUUGCAAUUUUCCGUCAUGAACGAGGAAUACCUUGUAAGCGCGGGUCAUCAUCCCGCGCUGAAUACGUCCCUGCCCUUUGUACACACCGCCCGUCGCUCCUACCGAUUGAGUGGUCCGGUGAGGCUUUGGGAUCUGAGCGGAGAGAGCGUUUCGCUGUUUCUGCUCGGAAAACUCAGUCGAACCUUAUCAUUUAGAGGAAGGAGAAGUCGUAACA
RNAcentral lists this ribosomal RNA (322 nucleotides) under uncultured eukaryote. Its description in RNAcentral is "partial 18S ribosomal RNA". It matches the Rfam family "Eukaryotic small subunit ribosomal RNA", at positions 1470 to 1796 of the family's 1831-position model. The record is from RNAcentral.